RNAcentral lists this long non-coding RNA (237 nucleotides) under Brassica rapa (field mustard). RNAcentral describes it as "long non-coding RNA (BRAP_LNC006502)". Lineage: Eukaryota; Viridiplantae; Streptophyta; Magnoliopsida; Brassicales; Brassicaceae. The record is from RNAcentral.
UUAUAUUUCUAUGUAUAUAUAUACUUAUUUACCUAUGAAAUAAUACAAUAAUGUGAUUCCCUAUUUCCCCUUUCUUUAACACAAAUUAUUUUUCAUAACAAAAUUUAUGUUAUUACAUUACAUCAUAGAUAAUUAUCUACUUAACAAAUAAAAUCAUUUUAAUUAAAAUUAGUUAUCUUAAACGUAGGCAUAUACUGAAUCCAAAUAAAGAAAAGAUAAAACCAAAAAAAAGUGUAC